CCGGUUCUCGUUAGAUCACCGAAGUCAAGCAUCAUUGGGCGCGGUCAGUACUUGGGUGGGUGACCACCUGGGAACACCGCGUGCCGUU
This 88-nucleotide ribosomal RNA is filed under the name Caerostris darwini. The record is from RNAcentral. Lineage: Eukaryota; Metazoa; Arthropoda; Arachnida; Araneae; Araneidae.